Molecule: long non-coding RNA, 1536 nt
Filed under: Homo sapiens (human)
Lineage: Eukaryota; Metazoa; Chordata; Mammalia; Primates; Hominidae
Description: HSALNT0393484
Source: RNAcentral
CAAUAUUUUCAAUAAUUUUGUGCAUGAAACAAAGUUUCAGUACAUUGAAUCAGCAGAAAGCAAAGGUGUCACUAGCUUAGUCACCUAUAUUCCAUCAUGUCAGUGCUCAAAAAUUUCAGAUUUUGGAGUAUUUGGAUUUUGGAUUUUCCCAUUUGGAGGUGCUCGAUCUGUAUUAUCGUAUCUUCUUGUACUUAUUUGGUCAUUGUUUUUGGACUUUUUAAAAAUAAAAAACCUUUCUAUAAACUUGACUCUGAGAUAGCAAAAGGUAUAAGAAGGCUUAGAUGUGGUGUAUUUUGAGUAAUCAAACUUUUAUUGUUUAUAACCUUUCCGAACAGAAUCAUGUUGAUUUUUCAGAAAAUAGCAAAGUUUUUCGGUCUCAUUAGUACUUUUAUUACCCUUUCUGUCUACAUAUCGGUGACAAGUACUUUUCAGAAGUAUUAAAAAUCAAUAUACAGAUAAAAGAGCUGGCAUAAAAACAAUUUGCUAUUUCCUGUAUUCACUCUGAGGCUGGGACUAUUAAGAUAUGUUUUAAAUAAGGGAGAGUGAAAUACUGGUCUGCAUCAUGAUUUGUCAUCCAUCUUUUUCAAAAAUGAGCUAAAUUUGAAAUGGAACAAGGAAGACCUAAGUCCUCUUCACAAGGCUCCCAGCCCCCCGCCAACUUCUGCACGCAGCCCCAAUUGGUUCAGCUCAACUUUCCCACCCGGCGUCCACCCUCAGGGCCUGGCUGGUGGUCCUGAGUUGCCCAGCAAUCCCAGUUACCCUCUCACAAUUUGGAAAGAGAGUGUUCACUCAGAAAGGGGACAUGCUAGCAUAGAUGAGCAGGGACCACCAAUAUACAGCACAGGCUGUGUCAGCUGAGAAAGAGCAUCCGGGGACAAGGGGAGACCUGGCGGGCUACUGUAAUCUGCCCCUGAGCCACGGUAUGACCACAGCCCAAAGCCCACCCUCAGGAGGGGGGCUGCUCCCACUGUCCAUCAUCAGCCAGCUAACUCUUGCAUUUCAUACCCAUAUUCAGGGGCAGAUAGAGCCCCUGUUGUCAAGAUGUUACAGUCUCAGAGGGAUUGGAACAGAGGCAUAUGUAACCAAUGGAAAUCACGCACAGAUCCAUAAAACUGUUAAAACAGUGCUACCUGCUCCUUGAACACUGGGUCGUAUCUUAAUAAGAAGAGAUGAUGGAUGGCGGGAGGGUAUUAUAGAAAGGCAUGGCAGAGGUGGAGAAAAGGCAAGGUGCCAGCCAGCCAUCUCACAUUAAGGAGGCUUCUGCCCUGGCCUCUCCUUCCAGGCCCUCAUGGGUGACAGCAGGUUCAGAAGAUCUCUGGGUCUGUUUCCCCCUGGGGAAGAAACAUUAGAUUUUUUUUAACAUUAGAGGGCACCCAUGAGCACUAUUCAUCAGAGGGCAGAAACUCAUUGUUCUGUUCAAGUCAUUAUGAAUUAAUUACAUGUAUAUAUGCUUGGUCUGAUGAAAAUGAAAUCACUGAAGUUUGUUUUCCCUCUCUUCUCUUUUUUUUUUUUUUUUUUUUUUUUUUUUUUUUUGUU